Molecule: long non-coding RNA, 449 nt
Filed under: Rattus norvegicus (Norway rat)
Lineage: Eukaryota; Metazoa; Chordata; Mammalia; Rodentia; Muridae
Description: uncharacterized LOC102551552
Source: RNAcentral
CUCCCUUGCCCACCUGUGCAACUGGGCUCCAGCUUCACGCUCCAGCUGGGCCCAUGUCCGAUAACAUUCAUCCAUCAUCCUUGUGUAGAAGUCCUCGGGAUUCUAGAUGGCCUCAAGUUCUCUGUCAGUCUUCUCAUCACAUGCUUGCCUAGUAGAAUACAGUGACGGCCACACUCUAGCCCAUGCCUUUGGACAACAUCCUCUUCUUGCCUUGAAGAAUUCGCUCUCAGACCCUUAACCACCAUGUUAGAAGUCUAGCCACUCUGUGAGAGAGAGAAGACGAGAAAAGUCCCAGGAUGACACCGACAGUCACAUGUUAAGAGAGAAGCUAUUUUGGACCUUGUGUCCAGACCAACUAACCACCACCGAGUGACCCAUGACCCAACAGCCAAGCUGUGUCAGCAUUCCUCAGUUUUAUGAAGUAAAAUAAAAUGCUUUUUAGACCCUAA